AAUUAAUAUGAAACAAGGUCUUCAUGCAGAAAACAAUAGAUUUUUGUUGUUUAAACAUGACAUUUACAUGUAUUAGGCUUCUACUUAUAAGACAGAAUUAACACUGCUUCCCCGAGUAUAGUUGACUUAAUUUUAAACGUCAAUUUAAACAUUUUUCCACGCCCCCGUUUUACUGUUUGGCAAAUGAAAAUCGGAAAAAGGAAAUGCGCAGUUUGCGAGACUCGAACGGAAAACUGUUUGCCACGGUGUGCAGUACACGGAUCAUCGACCCAUUCGUUUCGUGUGUAACCACCGGAAUCCUUAGAAGCCGGUGAAACACGACGAUGAAAGGCUUGUGGGUGCUGGCAGCUAUUUCCCUGUACUGCGUUGGAGGGGCAGAAAGUGCAGGGUCAGCCAGAGGAUGCCAGGCCCAGCCCAACUGCAAAGAGUGCCUGAAGGUCCCUGGCUGUGCCUGGUGCUGGCAGCAGGACUUCCUGAAGGCUGGGGAGCCAAACGAGCGGAGGUGCGACACAGCCGAGGCUCUCAAGGAAAGGAAUUGUGGGGAGGGGAACGUGAUCAACCCACUGUCCCGCGUAGAAGUGCUGAAGAACAUCGACCUGCGGAGUAACUCUGAGAACGUGGUGCAGCUGCAGCCCCAGAGCCUCCACCUCAAGAUCCGUGUCGGAGUCCCAGAGACCUUUGAGGUGUGGUUCAAGAGGGCGGAAGGAUACCCCAUUGACCUGUACUACCUGAUGGACCUGUCCUUCUCCAUGAAGGAUGACCUGGAAAAGAUCAAGAACCUGGGUGAAGAGAUCCUCAAAGCCUUGAAGAUGGUCACACAGAAAGUCAGGAUUGGCUUUGGCUCCUUCGUGGACAAGGUAGCCUUGCCUUACGUCAGCCAGGUGAAGCGCAAGCUGGCCAACCCCUGCCCCAGCCGCAUGGACAGCUGCCAGCCAGCCUUCAGCUUCCACAACGUGCUGCGGCUCACCGACGAUGUGGCGGACUUCACCACCCGGGUCAGCAUGCAGAGGAUCUCGGGCAACCUGGACUCUCCUGAGGCUGGCUUUGAUGCCAUGAUGCAAGCGGCAGUCUGCCAGGAGGCUAUCGGCUGGAACAACGUCACCCGCAUCCUGGUCUACACCUCCGAUGACACCUUCCACAUGGCAGGCGAUGGCAGGCUGGCUGGCAUCUACCAGCCCAACGAUGGAAAAUGCCACCUCAACGCAGAUGGGUACUAUGACAAAGCCACUGAAUAUGACUACCCCUCGGUUGGCCGUCUGUCCAGGGCCCUCGCGGCCAACAACAUCCAGCUGAUCUUUGCUGUCACAGAUAAGAGUGUCCCCAGCUAUCAGGCUCUGAGCAAACUCAUCCCCAGGUCAGUGGUGGGAGUGCUGGAGGCUGACUCCAGUAAUGUGGUCCAGCUCAUCUCUGAGGCCUACGGGAACCUGUCAUCCACCAUCUUACUGGAGCACUUAAGUGCCCCCGAAGGACUGAACAUUUCCUACAGGUCCAAAUGCAGCAAUGGCGUCCACACGCCGUGGCUGAGGAACGGCGAGUGCAGCAACGUCAAGAUCAACGAGCAGGUGAAUUUCACCGUAAAGGUGACCGCCACCUCCUGCCUGCCCGGGGUAGAAACAUUUGUCAUCAAACCGCAGGGUAUUGGUGAGGCGCUGAAGGUCACUGUGGAAACGCUGUGUGACUGUAACUGCGGGGAACCAGAGGAACACUCUCCCCACUGUAAUGGCAACGGCACACUCAGCUGUGGAAUUUGCAGCUGUGACGAGGGGCGCCUGGGCCAGCGGUGCAAUUGUGAGAAGCACGGGGACAAGGACAGCGUGGCGGCCAUGGAAGCCCAGUGCCGGCAGACUAACGAGUCCCAGCUGUGCAGCGGGCAGGGGUCCUGCGAGUGCGGCGCCUGCGAGUGCCGCCCGCGCCACCGGGGGCAGUACUGCGAGUGCGACGACGGCGGCUGCCCCCGCCACAACAACCAGCUGUGCGGAGGCCAUGGUGACUGUAACUGCAGCGUGUGCGACUGUCACGCUAACUACAUCGGCGCCGACUGCGGGUGCUCAGUACUCAAGGAUAAGUGCAUGGGGAAAGAGGGCAAGGAGUGCAGUCGGCAUGGCCGGUGUGUGUGCAAUCAGUGCGUGUGCUACCAGGGCUUCUUCCAGGAUGACUGCUCGGAGCUCAGAGCACCGUGCAAAACCUUCCUGGAAUGUGCUCUGUGCAGUUUGUCAAGUGAGAAGGCCCAAGGUGAGCAAAACUGCAGCCGUCACUGUGGCUCUGUGAAGCCUCAGAGAGCAGACCGGAACCAGAAAUGGGACCCAGACCGGGACUUCCCCUGUCAGCAUACCAAGGUGCGCUUUGGAGUGGAUCCAGAGACGGAGGACGGAAGUAUCCGCGUCAUCUAUACCGACCCCCCAGAGCCCAUCGACAUGACAAUGGUGGCCGUCGGCAGCUCAAUUUCAGGGAUCAUCUUCAUCGGGCUGGCCAUCAUCAUCAUCUACCGGCUGCUUCUGGAGGUGUACUAUCGCAGGGAGUACCACAACUUCAUAACCGAACAGCAGAAGGCUCGGUGGAACGUGGACCCCAACCCGCUGUUCCAGGAAGCCACAACCACAGUCUUUAACCCCAUGCACAUUACAGACUGAUGCCUGCUCUUUACCUUCAUGCACAUUAACACCCUUUAACUGACUUCUCAACCAUGCGGUAGAGCUGACUUUGACAGUGAAAAAACCUAUGAAAAAAAAAAAAAAAAAUCUGCCCAGCAUCCUGAUUGGUAUGGGGCCCCAACCCCCCUUAAUCAAUUUGCAUAAAGAGUAUCUUUUUUCAACACAACUAUGUGGAGCAGCAGUUCCUGCACUUUCCCCACUCUGACAACGGAGGCAGCACCACAAAUCACUCCCCAAAGAUUAGGGCAUAAAGCAGGAAUUUGGCAGGACGACAAUGCCAAGAUUCAUCGGGCUCAAAUUGUGAAAGAGUUGUUCUGGGAGCAUGAGGAAUCAUUUUCACACAUGAAUUGGCCACCACAGAGUCCUGACCUUAACCCCAUUGAAAAUCUUUGAGAUGUGCUGGAGAAGACUUUAUGGAGUGGUUCGACUGUCCCAUUGUCAAUACAAGGUAAUGCAAUUCUGGACGGAAAUAAAUGUUGUGACGUUUCGAGGGUUAUCGAAACAAUGCCAUGACGAAUGUGCACAAGUUUAAAGUUUUUUAAGUUCUGUUCAUGAGUUUAUACUUAAUACUUAAUAAAAUGACGAUUUAUGAAACGGUGCCUGAUUAUAAAGCAGAAAUGCCACACAAUGGAAUAUCUAUACAUGUAUAUAGAUGUUUGUUCCAAAUCGUAGUUAAUGAUAUGUUCGAUAUGAAAUAUGUAAUCAAAAUGAAAUCAAUGAUACCUGGAAUGAAUGUUUUUUUUUACAUACAUAUUUAAACUGUUUUGUUCAUAGAAACAAAAUAGUUUAAACUUAUAAAAUGACAAUUAGUGUCCGAUUUUAAAGCAGAAAUGCCAUAUGAUGCAGUAUAUGUCAAUAUAUACAUAUUUGUGGACCUAGUUAUUGUAAUUGAUUGACAUUUACAGGCCAAAAACAUGUUGAUGGAGUGUAAAAAAAGCAAUGAACUGUUUUAAGGUUUUAAAGAGAGAUUAAAAUGAUUGUGUUUCAGGAAAAAUGUUCAUAAAUAUAGUGAAUAGCAUCUUUUACCAUAAACUGACAUCUCAACUGUACGGUAGAGGUCUAAUUUCUAAAAAAAAAAGGGUCAAGUUAUGAAAAAAACUGUUAGACAUUGUUAUUUGGUGCUCUGGCACCUAUUUCAAUGAGUGACAGAUAAAAGGUUAAAGACUGAGGUGUCAGAGGCCUGUUCGUUAAAAACAACAGUGGUGGUGGUGGAC
Molecule: RNA transcript, 3865 nt
Organism: Anguilla anguilla (European eel)
Lineage: Eukaryota; Metazoa; Chordata; Actinopteri; Anguilliformes; Anguillidae
Gene: itgb7
Gene name: integrin, beta 7
Exons: 17
Source: RefSeq, a predicted model, not a curated record